CCUCCCCACUACCCUCCCCCCUCUCUCUCUCUGAGAUUUUUAACAUGGCGGGGCUCGGGCCCCCAUGGGCGGGGUAGGAGCCUCGGCCUCGCCUGGCCUCCCACUGCCGACCGGGCCACCGCCCGCCCCGGCCAAAGCCGCUCAGGCGAGCACCGUAGGCGCAAGCAAAGACCGCGGAGGGGGCCUACGGGCUGCGACAAGAAGACCCAGGCCGCGCCGUGAGGGGGGACCGAGAGGCGAACAACAGCACAAACGUUGCCCGCCUCUCCCCUCACGACGACGGCGGCGGCGGCGGACACCGCGCUCGUAGACGCCGGACAACGACACGAGAGCGCUCUCGGCCGCCCCGUGUAACGCUAAAGGCCGCCGCGGUGUUUCCCCGCCGCCGCCACCCCCAGCGUGAGGCAGACGCCCAGCAAUGGCGGCUUCCCUCACGCAUUCGUCGGUGCGAAUAAAAUUCUGUUUAAAAUUUCA
Molecule: long non-coding RNA, 474 nt
Organism: Petromyzon marinus (sea lamprey)
Lineage: Eukaryota; Metazoa; Chordata; Hyperoartia; Petromyzontiformes; Petromyzontidae
Source: RefSeq, a predicted model, not a curated record